UACGGAGGGGGCUAGCGUUAUUCGGAAUUAUUGGGCGUAAAGGGCGCGUAGGCGGCCCGGUAAGUCAAAGGUGAAAUCCCUCGGCUCAACUGAGGAACUGCCUUUGAAACUGUCGGGCUUGAGGCCGGGAGGGGGUAGCGGAAUUCCCAGUGUAGCGGUGAAAUGCGUAGAUAUUGGGAGGAACACCGGUGGCGAAGGCGGCUACCUGGACCGACAUUGACGCUGAGGCGCGAAAGCCAGGGGAGCAAACGGG
Molecule: ribosomal RNA, 253 nt
Filed under: uncultured bacterium
Lineage: Bacteria
Description: partial 16S ribosomal RNA
Rfam family: Bacterial small subunit ribosomal RNA
Source: RNAcentral